AUAGGCUCCUCGCUGAGCAGAGAGCCCGAUGCGUGGCUUGAUUCCAGGACCCUGAGAUCAUGAUCUGAGCCACCCAGGCGCCCCUAGAAACGGGAACUUCAAUAAAGACUCUUGUGUCUGUGAGUAUCUGCCCAAGUCAGCGUUUUCCAGGCACUGUGGUCAAAAGGGAUUGGAUUCAAUGAACAGGAUCCUUCUGGUUCCACAGCCAGAUGGGGUCUGUCUGCCCAUUGCCCAAUUCCUAGGCAUCUUGACUGCUUCCAAACUUUGGCACUUAUGAAUAUAGCUACUACAAACAGGCUUGGGCAGGUUUCUCAAUGUCCCAGGACCUCAGUUUUCAAAUCAACUAAUUUGUGUAAAUGCCAAGGAGCAACAUUGCUGGACCAUAGGUUUGUGUUCCAGCCAUCUUAAAUAUCAGGAUGUUUCUCAGCUACAUUCCAUGUUCUCUUCUCUUUGGGCAUAGAUGAACACAGUUCCCU
Lutra lutra (Eurasian river otter) is the source of this 476-nucleotide long non-coding RNA. RefSeq lists it as uncharacterized. NCBI's taxonomy places the organism in Eukaryota, Metazoa, Chordata, Mammalia, Carnivora, Mustelidae. The record is from RefSeq and is a predicted model, not a curated record. The transcript is spliced from 3 exons.